Molecule: ribosomal RNA, 495 nt
Filed under: uncultured bacterium
Lineage: Bacteria
Description: partial 16S ribosomal RNA
Rfam family: Bacterial small subunit ribosomal RNA
Source: RNAcentral
GACGAACGCUGGCGGCGUGCCUAAUACAUGUAAGUAGAACGCUGAAGGAGGAGCUUGCUUCUCUGGAUGAGUUGCGAACGGGUGAGUAACGCGUAGGUAACCUGCCUGGUAGCGGGGGAUAACUAUUGGAAACGAUAGCUAAUACCGCAUAAUAGUAGAUGUUGCAUGACAUUUGCUUAAAAGGUGCAAUUGCAUCACUACCAGAUGGACCUGCGUUGUAUUAGCUAGUUGGUGGGGUAACGGCUCACCAAGGCGACGAUACAUAGCCGACCUGAGAGGGUGAUCGGCCACACUGGGACUGAGACACGGCCCAGACUCCUACGGGAGGCAGCAGUAGGGAAUCUUCGGCAAUGGACGGAAGUCUGACCGAGCAACGCCGCGUGAGUGAAGAAGGUUUUCGGAUCGUAAAGCUCUGUUGUAAGAGAAGAACGAGUGUGAGAGUGGAAAGUUCACACUGUGACGGUAUCUUACCAGAAAGGGACGGCUAACUACGUG